This 213-nucleotide unclassified non-coding RNA is filed under the name Hevea brasiliensis (rubber tree). Lineage: Eukaryota; Viridiplantae; Streptophyta; Magnoliopsida; Malpighiales; Euphorbiaceae. The record is from RNAcentral.
GUACAUUUUCUAUUUUAUAAGAAAUGCUAGUGAAUCAAAAAGAGGAGGUGAAGAGUUUUUGGCAUCAAAAAAAUAGACUAUCGAUCAAGACUAUUAUGUCAUCCCAAUGACAGCAAGAAAAAGGGCAAAGCAAGAUGAACGGAUUGAUAGAGAUCAAAAUCAUGUUCAUUAUCUAUGGGAAAGUUUACCCCUAACAAAUGCAUAGUUUUACUG